Molecule: small RNA, 2218 nt
Filed under: Pan troglodytes (chimpanzee)
Lineage: Eukaryota; Metazoa; Chordata; Mammalia; Primates; Hominidae
Description: retained intron
Source: RNAcentral
UUUUUUGUAGAGAUGGGAUCUAGCUUUGUUGCCCAGGCUGGUCUCAAACUCCUGGCCUCAAGUAAUCCUCCUGCCUCAGCCUCCCAAAGUGAUGGGAUUAUAGGUGUGAGCUACCGUGCCCAGCUCAUAGUUGUUUUGGAAAGAGCCAGGCCAUUUGGAAUCGUUUUCCUUUUCCAGGACAGCUGAAGUGAGCCUGCUGGUCACACACCGUGCCUGGUGUGGGGGCUGCUGCCUGGGUAGCUGGGUGUCUCGGGCAUGUGCCCAUUCACUCCCUUGACUUUUAACUUGGUACGGGAGGAAUGGAAGUGGCAGCCACAAAUAAUGGCCAUCCUGGGCUCUCCUAGAACCCACUCGCCCCAGCUGGCCUCUUCUGCCCGGGGCUCUGCUCCCUCUGAGCCCGCUCUGAGGCUGCAGCCCAGGCUGCCUGUGCCCCACACUCCCUCCGGAGCUGACAGUCCAGCCGGGGCUCAGGGCCUUUCUGCCUUCCCUUCCCACCCUGUCCAGGAGCUCACCCAUGCCCUACAUGGCCCCCACCCAAGGCUUGUUUGUUUCUUGGCCUGCUCCUCCCAUGCCCAUCCUGGCUUCUCUGCACCAUGCAGGGCACACAGUAGGUGCUCACUGGGGACUGAAGGAAACGCACACCACUGAGGGCUGCUGAGGGGUUAAGGAACCGAAACUUUGUUUAGAUUUUCUUCUGUAUUUUCCAUAUCAGUGCCUCGAGUUUAAACUUUUUUUUUGGUCUUAUCUUCACGAAGGUUGAAAAAGAUCAUCUAGCAAAGCCUUUUUUCCCAGCUAUAUAUAAGGAAUUUGAAGAGUUGCAUAAAAUGGUUAAGAAAAUGUGCCAAGAUUACCUCAGUAGUUCUGGUCUGUGUUCCCAGGAGACCCUGGAAAUAAACAAUGAUAAGGUUGCUGAGUCAUUAGGAAUCACAGAAUUCCUACGGAAGAAAGAAAUACACCCAGACAACCUUGGACCCAAGCACCUCAGCCGAGACAUGGAUGGGGAGCAGCUAGAGGGAGCUAGCAGCGAGAAGAGGGAACGUGAGGCUGCGGAGGAGGGACUGGCCUCAGUGAAAAGGCCCAGAAGAGAAGCCCUGUCCAACGAUACCACUGAAUCUCUUGCUGCCAACAGCAGAGGCCGGGAGAAGCCCAGGCCUUUGCAUGCUUUGGCCACUGGUUUUUCCCCUCCAGUAAAUGUGACUGUCUCUCCCCGUUCUGAAGAAAGCCAUACAACGAUGGUUUCUGGUAGCAAUGGGAGCGUGUUCCAGGCGGGCCCGCAGCUUCAGGCACUGGCUAACUUAGAAGCCAGGAGGGGGUCUAUAGGUGCUGCUCUCUCAUCCCGGGAUGUCAGUGGGCUGCCUGUUUAUGCUCAGUCAGGAGAGCCUAGGAGGCUGACCCAGGCACAGGUGGCAGCGUUUCCUGGAGAGAAUGCUUUGGAACACUCUUCAAACCAGGACACCUGGGACAGCCUGAGGAGCCCGGGUUUCUGCAGCCCUUUGUCAUCUGGUGGUGGAGCAGAGUCUCUGCCGCCUGGGGGGCCUGGACAUGCAGAGGCAGGACACCUCGGCAAGGUUUGUGACUUCCACCUGAACCACCAGCAGCCCAGCCCCAGCAGCGUCCUGCCUGCAGAGGUGGCAGCCCCUCCGCUUGAGAAAAUUUUGUCUGUGGAUAGCGUGGCAGUGGACUGUGCCUACAGGACUGUGCCCAAGCCAGGGCCUCAGCCCGGCCCACAUGGAUCACUAUUGACUGAAGGGCGUCUCAGAAGCCUUUCGGGGGACUUGAACCGGUUCCCCUGUGGGAUGGAGGUGCACUCUGGCCAGAGAGAACUGGAGAGCGUGGUUGCUGUCAGCGAAGCCAUGGCUUUUGAAAUUUCCAAUGGGAGCCAUGAGUUACUGUCUCAGGGACAGAAGCAGAUUUUUAUUCAGACUUCCGAUGGGCUUAUCUUGUCCCCUCCAGGUACAAUAGUGUCUCAGGAGGAGGACAUUGUCAUAGUGACUGAUGUAGAGGGGCGUGCCUGCGGAUGGGCCCGCCAGAAGGAGUUCCUCUAGAAGCUGUGGAGUCGGUCGUCACCGUGGAGCCGGAGCCCUCACAGUGAAGUGGAGUCAGAUCCUAGAUUCGUCUGAUUUUAUCCAGAGAAGGUCUAUGGCAAGCAAUGUAUAUUUUUCUAAUGUGAAUACUGCACAGAUGAACCUUUUAUUUAUAAAGAAUAAUGUCUUUCUAC